GGUUAAGCGACUAAGCGUACACGGUGGAUGCCCUGGCAGUCAGAGGCGAUGAAGGACGUGCUAAUCUGCGAUAAGCGUCGGUAAGGUGAUAUGAACCGUUAUAACCGGCGAUUUCCGAAUGGGGAAACCCAGUGUGUUUCGACACACUAUCAUUAACUGAAUCCAUAGGUUAAUGAGGCGAACCGGGGGAACUGAAACAUCUAAGUACCCCGAGGAAAAGAAAUCAACCGAGAUUCCCCCAGUAGCGGCGAGCGAACGGGGAGCAGCCCAGAGCCUGAAUCAGUGUGUGUGUUAGUGGAAGCGUCUGGAAAGGCGCGCGAUACAGGGUGACAGCCCCGUACACAAAAAUGCACAUGCUGUGAGCUCGAUGAGUAGGGCGGGACACGUGGUAUCCUGUCUGAAUAUGGGGGGACCAUCCUCCAAGGCUAAAUACUCCUGACUGACCGAUAGUGAACCAGUACCGUGAGGGAAAGGCGAAAAGAACCCCGGCGAGGGGAGUGAAAAAGAACCUGAAACCGUGUACGUACAAGCAGUGGGAGCACGCUUCGGCGUGUGACUGCGUACCUUUUGUAUAAUGGGUCAGCGACUUAUAUUCUGUAGCAAGGUUAACCGAAUAGGGGAGCCGAAGGGAAACCGAGUCUUAACUGGGCGUUAAGUUGCAGGGUAUAGACCCGAAACCCGGUGAUCUAGCCAUGGGCAGGUUGAAGGUUGGGUAACACUAACUGGAGGACCGAACCGACUAAUGUUGAAAAAUUAGCGGAUGACUUGUGGCUGGGGGUGAAAGGCCAAUCAAACCGGGAGAUAGCUGGUUCUCCCCGAAAGCUAUUUAGGUAGCGCCUCGUGAAUUCAUCUCCGGGGGUAGAGCACUGUUUCGGCAAGGGGGUCAUCCCGACUUACCAACCCGAUGCAAACUGCGAAUACCGGAGAAUGUUAUCACGGGAGACACACGGCGGGUGCUAACGUCCGUCGUGAAGAGGGAAACAACCCAGACCGCCAGCUAAGGUCCCAAAGUCAUGGUUAAGUGGGAAACGAUGUGGGAAGGCCCAGACAGCCAGGAUGUUGGCUUAGAAGCAGCCAUCAUUUAAAGAAAGCGUAAUAGCUCACUGGUCGAGUCGGCCUGCGCGGAAGAUGUAACGGGGCUAAACCAUGCACCGAAGCUGCGGCAGCGACGCUGAUGCGUUGUUGGGUAGGGGAGCGUUCUGUAAGCCUGUGAAGGUGUGCUGUGAGGCAUGCUGGAGGUAUCAGAAGUGCGAAUGCUGACAUAAGUAACGAUAAAGCGGGUGAAAAGCCCGCUCGCCGGAAGACCAAGGGUUCCUGUCCAACGUUAAUCGGGGCAGGGUGAGUCGACCCCUAAGGCGAGGCCGAAAGGCGUAGUCGAUGGGAAACAGGUUAAUAUUCCUGUACUUGGUGUUACUGCGAAGGGGGGACGGAGAAGGCUAUGUUGGCCGGGCGACGGUUGUCCCGGUUUAAGCGUGUAGGCUGGUUUUCCAGGCAAAUCCGGAAAAUCAAGGCUGAGGCGUGAUGACGAGGCACUACGGUGCUGAAGCAACAAAUGCCCUGCUUCCAGGAAAAGCCUCUAAGCAUCAGGUAACAUCAAAUCGUACCCCAAACCGACACAGGUGGUCAGGUAGAGAAUACCAAGGCGCUUGAGAGAACUCGGGUGAAGGAACUAGGCAAAAUGGUGCCGUAACUUCGGGAGAAGGCACGCUGAUAUGUAGGUGAAGUCCCUCGCGGAUGGAGCUGAAAUCAGUCGAAGAUACCAGCUGGCUGCAACUGUUUAUUAAAAACACAGCACUGUGCAAACACGAAAGUGGACGUAUACGGUGUGACGCCUGCCCGGUGCCGGAAGGUUAAUUGAUGGGGU
Molecule: ribosomal RNA, 1864 nt
Filed under: Escherichia coli
Lineage: Bacteria; Pseudomonadati; Pseudomonadota; Gammaproteobacteria; Enterobacterales; Enterobacteriaceae
Description: partial 23S ribosomal RNA
Rfam family: Bacterial large subunit ribosomal RNA
Source: RNAcentral